This 380-nucleotide ribosomal RNA is filed under the name uncultured marine eukaryote. RNAcentral's name for it is "SSU rRNA". It matches the Rfam family "Eukaryotic small subunit ribosomal RNA", at positions 617 to 1003 of the family's 1831-position model. The record is from RNAcentral.
AGUUAAAAAGCUCGUAGUUGGAUUUCGGAGUGGGCCAGUUGGUCCGCCGCAAGGUGUGUUACUGACUGGUUUGCUCUUCUUCGCAAAGACUGCGUGUGCUCUUUGUUGAGUGUGCGUAGGAUUUACGACGUUUACUUUGAAAAAAUUAGAGUGUUCAAAGCAGGCUAUUGCUUGAAUACAUGAGCAUGGAAUAAUGGAAUAGGACUUUGGUCCCAUUUUGUUGGUUUCUAGGACCGAAGUAAUGAUUAAGAGGGACAAUUGGGGGCAUCCGUAUUUCGUUGUCAGAGGUGAAAUUCUUGGAUUUACGAAAGACGAACAACUGCGAAAGCACUUGCCAAGAGUGUUUUCAUUAAUCAAGAACGAAAGUUAGAGGAUCGAAG